Molecule: long non-coding RNA, 1618 nt
Organism: Equus asinus (donkey)
Lineage: Eukaryota; Metazoa; Chordata; Mammalia; Perissodactyla; Equidae
Source: Ensembl
GCUCAAGUUGCUGCAGAUAAAUCUGGGAAGUGAAGAAAUACUAGAAACUUCCUUAAGUAGUUUAAGUAAACUCCUUUACUGAGAAGGUCUUAGAAACCCUUCCCUUUGCUGCGCUCCGAAAAUCGCAACCUUGCUGGGCUUCUGGUUGCCGAUCUAGUUUUUGCCCUCCCGCUUCUUCAUUAGGUCCUUGAGAGAGCUGUGAAACACAGAUCUAUCCUGUUCAGUGCUGCGGGCCCGCGCUCUGGAAAGUUUCUGCAUUUCUUUGAGCGGCUGCUUUCCCCACCGAGUUUCCCGGGGCCCGGGCACCCGCAGCCCUCCUCUCUCUGCAGAACGUGAGGGGCGUGAGCAGUCGGGCGGUGGGCUCGUCUCUCCCCGGCUGCUGCCCAUGCAGCCAUCUCUCAUUCUCCUCUCCCUAGUGAGCCCUUCUGGAAGAAAUUGGGCCCUAAGUGUGGUCUCAGCUCUCUCAAGUGAUGGGGAGCCUUGGAGAUGGUUUGAGAACCAAGUUCUGCACGCUAGUAUCCAUUCUCCCAACUGAUAAUGACGCUUCAGUUGCCCGUAAGGAAGACCCUCCUUCCCCCAUUGGAUACAACCUUACUUCGACUGUUACUCAAGGUGUCCUACCCUCCUCUGGCCAGUGGCUCUUUUUGGAAAAUUCCCUACGAGAACCGAAAUUUAAACCCAUUUACUUUAUAAGAAGCAGCAGAAAGGUCGCUCUUCCCAGUCUUCAUGCACCUGCAGGGCUGUCAACACUGGGAGGACUGGAAGAAAUUUGUAAAGAGUCUGGGAGUCUUCAGAGAGGAAAAGAGUGCAGACCUGGACUCCUCCUUUUCCAAUGUCUUUAUUAUUAGAAGGUUUUCUAUGCAUUGAGCCGGUUCUGAUUAAGAAAGGAUCUAAUAAGAAGGAACAUUGAAGACCUUAAGCUGUUAGCCCUGCUGUGGCCGGCAUUACCCGAUGGGACAGGCUAUCCGGUCAUGGGCACGACUGGAGGCAGAAGGCCCUCCUGACCCGGCCACUGUGCUCUGUAAACUAAAAAGCUGUUGGCGCGGAUGCCAUGUCUUACCUCUGAGGAGCAGGCUGCUUCUCUCUUGACGAAUCGCUGUGGCCACUAUUGGAAUCUGCAACAGCAAAGGCCAGCGCACACCAGGCGAAAAGGUCACCCUGGCCUGUGGGGGAUCCGUUUUCAUCAGUAAACGGUGCCAGGAGCAGAACACCAGCAGCCUUCAGCUUGUAUUCUCUCAGACUCUCUGGUUUUCUCCCUCUGAGGUGGAUCAAGAGGCCCCCAGAGUUUUUGAACAAUUUGAUAGACAAGAGAGACCUUGGACUCCCUGCUAGUCUGGCAAUUGAGAAGUGGUUUUAAUUUGGAAAAAAUAACAGGUGGGACCUCAUUUUUACCCAAAACUAUUGAAGUAGAUCCUACUAUUACCACAUGUACAUAUAUAUUUUACAAAUAUGUCAUCAUAACAUAUAUUGUUUAAUACUUGAUAAGUUCUGUAAAAGUUUCUUUUUUCUCUCUCCUAGAUGUUAUGACCUGAGAAGACUGAAUGUAUUUUCUUGUGGUCUUGUGCUUUGCAGUUUUGAAUAUAUAGUUUAGAUCAAUAAAGAUAUAUUAAUGGAAGAA